GCGAGAAACGCCCCUAGGUCAACGUAAUUGUAGGAAGUGUGUAGCAUUUGUGAGACAAGAACACAAAUGUCCACUUGUGCCUACGUGGCCGUCCCCGCUUUCCUACCGAAGCGUCGAACGGCGGACGGAGCCGAAGAAGCUCAAGUCGUCUCGCCUCAACUUCGGAAUCGCCAAAGUAGCUCUCAAGCGGACGCUCGACGGGAAUCCGUGGGUACUUACCGGCUGUUUACACCGCCGCGAGGGGCAACGUUGACAUUGGGUCUGGAACACAUCCCCGUCAUGAACACUAUAGACAAGAUGAAAGUGAAGGAAAGCAGCGAGUAACUCACUCAAACUCUCCGGUGUGCGAGGGAGCUGCUUCCUGGUGUUGAAGGGAUCUCCGUGAAGGACGCUGAGAAUUCCCUCGAGUUCCAAACCUGCGAGUCUGCCUGUUGUCGGACUGGCUGUGGCUACAGCAUCUGCAAA
Long non-coding RNA from Phyllopteryx taeniolatus (common seadragon), 465 nucleotides. RefSeq lists it as uncharacterized. The record is from RefSeq and is a predicted model, not a curated record. The transcript has 2 exons. Lineage: Eukaryota; Metazoa; Chordata; Actinopteri; Syngnathiformes; Syngnathidae.